Molecule: non-coding RNA, 1861 nt
Organism: Physcomitrium patens
Lineage: Eukaryota; Viridiplantae; Streptophyta; Bryopsida; Funariales; Funariaceae
Source: RefSeq, a predicted model, not a curated record
GCCCAUGUCCUAGGGGGGCAGCCGGCGGGCGGCAUGGCAAGUGCAAAAAGUAACACUGGAAUGUUGCUGGCAUCAAUUGGACUACAGUUUAGAUGGUUAACGUGUAAGCCAUUUUGUUGUUCAUUUUUCAUUUGUAUCUUGACAUGAAAUGCAGAAUUAAAUUUCUGUUUUAUGGGAUUGCUCUACGUGCAUGGAUGUUCUCACAACUCUCCUGCUACUAUCAUUCAAAAUGAAUUUCCUUGGGAGGGGAAAAUGUGUGGGUCCAAAAUGAUAUUAACUAGUGUUUUUGGUCCUUGAGCAUGACUUGGGCAAGCUCAGGUGACAAAUGGGAGUUGGUGCAUCAAUGACAGAGAAAGCCCCAAAUCAUCCAAAUGGAUGGAUGUUGAUGGCGGGAUGUUCAUCCGAAAUUACAUCCUCCCCGGUAUUGGGGCAUGGGGUGUCCUGUCACAGCUCGUUGGCAGCAACACCAGAAGAGCUCACAAAGCACGGAGACAGGUCGUCAGCUGCCUCCCAGAAUUGCGGCGAUAGGCGCUAGACCUACGGCGCCAAGUACACUGGACUUCCUCUAGGUGCACCGCCUCAACACGUGGGCCGGAGUAGGGCUCGCAUCUUUUUGCAUUGGGAACAUCGGACACAAGCUCACAGACACAUCAAAUUUCUCUUCACCAACUAAACUUCUCUCCACAGAUCAAAUCACAUCUCACUGCAAGCCCUAAAUCCAAAAAGUUGCAUUAUGUUCUUAGUUUACACUAUUAAGUAGCCAUUCCACUUUAACCUCCACACCCUCUGUUUUUUCUAACGAGUUCACUGAUAACCAAAUCAUACGACCAGCCAUUUUUUUCCAAAUUUAACAAUAGUACUGAGGUAAAUAUUGUCUUUUUAGUAGAGUAAUAACAAAGGAAGCCCAUUCUCUCUCAAUGUUGUUUGCCAUGGCACACAUGUCCCAACCCAAUCGAAUAUUGACUAAGCAAUAACAAUGAAAUUCCUUUGAUCAAAAUAAAUAUCCAAACCCUGCAUGAAAGAAUCAUAUCUUUUAAACACUAGUUCAUGAAUUUUAACCCGUAAAAUAAAUACAAACCAAAACGUUGCUAGAAAAUGCAUGUCAAUACUUGCCUCCUCUUUCUGGGAUGCCAGCAGGGCAUAUUUGGGAGAAUGUAGUUGGGGGAGAGGAUGCUGACUGUACUGCCAGCUGACAGAGUUAGGGUGCCACCUGUCAUCAAACUCCAUACAAUGGUGGUGCCCUUCGAUGAGACACUCGAGGUGGAGCAGUGAAGGAGACUUCCAAUGUGGAUGAAUGACGACUUAUGGAUGUUGCAUGUGUGGAUGGAUGUCUUUUUCCCCCGCUCCAAGGCCAAGUUUGCACAUGGGGCCUACCUUUAUCACAGGUAAGUGGUGGGGGAGCUUGCUUAUCUGAUUGAAGAGUGUCCCAAUCAAGGCAAUUUGAAAAUGGGACGACAUUAAGGUGUCCUCUACAUCUUCAGCCCAUCAUUCCAGCACCAUCUAUAUCAUCCUUCAGACACCUUCUAAUGACAAAGUGUGGUGCAUUGUGCAGCAUUUGGUUUGGGGUUGGAAUCUACAAUUUUUUAUUUUUGUGUAGCUUUCUUGACAUAAAAAGAAACAGAAAAAGAAAAAGAAAGCAACUUUAUAUACAUUUUUGGAGAAACAACUUUAAGCUUUAUUGUGAGUAAAUUCUUCAUAGGAUGAAGUAACCCAAAGACAAUCAAGGUUAUUUUUACUUGUCUCACAUGCAUUUCUAUUUUAGAAUUUUCACUUCAAAUCUAAUAUAUGAAUGUGGAUUUCUAUUUUAGUUAUGUGUUUAUCAUUUUGGAAUAAUAAAAAGAGCAUCAGGUUGUGUUAUUUA